GUUCUUUAGAGCUGGGUGGUGGAGCAGUAGUACCACCAACAGCAUAUGUAAUGGUGCAUGACUCGCAGCUAUUAGAUCAAAUCACUGGCCAAUCUGAUGUGUACCCUGGAUUUUAUUCUUUCUAAAGCCCCUACCCCCAAGCAAAAAUGAGUGCAAAAAAAAAAAAAAAAUUAGAAGAGCUAAAUGGAAAAACAGGCCACUUGGAAUGCUCUUGAACAAAUGUACUGUUUUCACUCGUUCGGGACCCAAAUACAUCAUCUAGGCUCUUUUCGCACCUAAAAGUUGCUAUCUGGUUAAUAUUUCAAAACCUAAGUCUCGCUCUAAUUGUCUGUGACUGUGGGAUAAUUGCAAGUGGGCACCGACAGCUUUUUCACUGUUGGGGAAAGAAGAGACACGAGAAGCUGCAGUCUUUGGCGGGGGGAUGGGAGGUGGAGGGAAUCCUGGAAGGGAAUAUCCUUCGGAGAGGAGGAGGCAAGUGCAGGGAAAGGAAAGACCGAGAGGAUGCUGUAAACGCUAACACGGCGAUUCUUAACCAGAAGUUACGACAUUUUCUUUUGCCAAGGGGCUCUCCAGUCCCAGCUUCGAGGGGACCAAAGCCUCAGCCAGGGAAGUAUCUGCAGCGUUCGAACAAAUCGGCGACAGGAAGGAGCAGUGCCAAGGGGUACUUAAGGAGAAAAAACUGUAUUAGUGUGAAGCCAACCUUUGCCUGCUGCCACUCAGUGUGGAAAUUCCAGGCAGCCUCCCUGCCCUUACACACACGCGAACACACACACACACUUUGCUGCACUCAGCGUUCAAUAAGCCAACAUUUAGAGAACGACGCGUUCGCGGGGUCCCUCGCCGCCCCCGCGUGCGCGUGCACAGACACUCACUUCCCAUCCCUUCCACGUUCUGCGAGCAGUCUCAGCACCACCAACGGCCCGAACCCAGGCACCGCGAGGUCCACGGAGACGACGCUCUCUCCCCUGAGCAGCACCUCGGCUUGGGGGCAGUCUCGGGGCACGUCCUGCACCCGCUUCCCCGACCCCGGCAACGCCAACUGCGCGAAUCCCCGGGUUGGGUGACUGCUCGCGGGUCUAACCCGAAAGCCGAGAAACCGCGCCGCGGCGGGAUUCCGGGCAACAACCGCGUCCCCGCUGGUCCCCGCUGGUCCCCGCUUCGCACCGCGCACUCAGUCUGCACUGCGCCCCGGCUGCCCCGAAGGUCCCAGCCUCGCCGACCGGAUCGGCAGCCCCCGAGUCUCCAGACUCCCGCUGCUCCGGGGCUCCCGAUCUCAGCGCCCCGGGACCAAGCCGGUGCGCCGCCGGCCGCUCUUCGCGCUCCGGCCACGCUCCGUCUCCGGGCUUUACACACGGGCGCACAGACACGCACCCUCCCUUCCCUCGCCCCAGCACGCACACUUGCGCCCCCCGGGAGUUGCCCGCCUCCUCCCGCACCGCCAGAGGCAGCCCCCUACGCGCCCGCGCGUCCCACUGCCGGGGGCCGGCCAGUGGAUGCCCCGGCUCCCUCUAGCCGCCCCCCCUCCGGGGAACCCGAGACGCUCGGCGCUUACAGUUCGCAGGAACUGGAUCUCAUCCUCGCCCUCGCCCCCAUCGGCCAUGGCUCUGCUCCUUCUCGCAGGGGCCGGCUCCCGAACCCCGCGGAGCCCGGCGUCGUUGGCGGUGGCGGUCCCUCGCUCUGUCUGCUGCUGCUGCUGUUUCUGCUGCCGGGAGCCGGGGGCGGGAGGGGUCCGAGGCUGCUGGGUGCCGAGCGCCAGGCGGUCCCCGCCUGCAGAGCGGAGGAGGAGGCCGGCGGGCGGGGGCGGCGGAGGCGGGANCCUCCCUGCGCCGCACUGUGCGGGAGGAGGGCGACCCGGCCCGGAGGACGCGGGCAAGCGGCCCCGCAGCCCCGCCGCGCUGGCUUCGCGCGCCCCGCCUGCCGCAGGCGGACUGCUCGGCCCCGGCUCCUCCGAGCGAGUGCGCUGAGCUGGCGGAGCCCGGGUGAGUGCCGCGGUGGGGGCGGGGAGUGGGGGCGGACGGCGGGGAGGAGCUCGCCGGNNNNNNNNNNNNNNNNNNNNNNNNNNNNNNNNNNNNNNNNNNNNNNNNNNNNNNNNNNNNNNNNNNNNNNNNNNNNNNNNNNNNNNNNNNNNNNNNNNNGGCGGGGAGGAGCUCGCCGGCUCCCCUCUGCUGCAGGUAAUCCGCAGCCCGCUCCUCGGGGCCACCAAAUCCGAGGCCCAGCGCCGCUUACUGGCCGCUCCCGGUAUCGGAGCCGGAGCACACCCGAUGAGCGCGCAACCUUCCCGCUGCGCCCUUCUUGUUUCCCUGGGCUCCUGCACCUGCGGCUUCUGACCUUAAACCAGCUCUCACGAUUGCUUCUCCUGUGCGAGCGGAAGGGACUCCCACAGUACUUUCCGCGGCACUUCAGAUCUCAGGCAAGAAUCAUCUUUCACCCGGAUGCCCGGAGUGGAUCACCUCCAAGUAAAGGUGAUUUUAGACUUAGAUUAGCUCUGUUCCCGGAUCAUCAUGAGAAUUCAUUAGGAUCUAGUGUCGGUGCACCAUGCUCCUCACAGAUCAGACACACAAAAUGCAUGGUACACAGAACUGUAACAAACUCAUUCAACAAAUACAUGGUGAAUCCCUGUGCCAGAUACUGGAGAAUAAACA
Molecule: long non-coding RNA, 2642 nt
Filed under: Capra hircus (goat)
Lineage: Eukaryota; Metazoa; Chordata; Mammalia; Artiodactyla; Bovidae
Description: lncRNA (ENSCHIG00010032010.1)
Source: RNAcentral